AUUGUUGUUGGAAAAAUUUGUUUUUUAAUAAAAAGAUAAAAUCUGUUCUUAUCAGUUUAAUAUCUGAUAUGUCCCCUAUCUGGGGACCAUAUAUUAAAUGGAUUUUUUGGAACAGGGAGAUGGAAGAAGAGCUUGCUCUGUCCACUCCACGCAUUGACCUGGUAUUGCAGUACCUCCAGGACCGGUGCACCCCUC
Small nuclear RNA from Bombina bombina (fire-bellied toad), 195 nucleotides. RefSeq annotates it as U2 spliceosomal RNA. NCBI's taxonomy places the organism in Eukaryota, Metazoa, Chordata, Amphibia, Anura, Bombinatoridae. The transcript has a single exon. The record is from RefSeq and is a predicted model, not a curated record.